Vombatus ursinus (common wombat) is the source of this 3487-nucleotide long non-coding RNA. RefSeq lists it as uncharacterized. The record is from RefSeq and is a predicted model, not a curated record. Lineage: Eukaryota; Metazoa; Chordata; Mammalia; Diprotodontia; Vombatidae. The transcript has 3 exons.
GAAUUUGGACCCAGGUCUCAUUUGAUGCUCAAAACAACCCUGGGAAGUGGGCGCUAUUUAUUUUCAUUUUACUGCUGAGAUGGAGGCAGAUGGAGGGUAAGUCAUUUGCCCAAGGCCUCAAAUAAGUGAGUAAGAAAAUAAAUAAAUAAAUAAGACCCUAAUAAGUGUCUGAAGCUGGAUUUCAACUUGUGACUGACUUCCUGACUCCAAGUUCUAACUACUGCACCAUCUAGCCGCCUCUAAGUGCCUUUGGCUCCAGAACUCAUGCUCUUUCCAUAGUAUCAUGAUGUAUUGCCACAGAUGCCAUUUAGAAGAAAAAAAAAUGAAGCUUUUAAAGACAAGUCUAGAAAAGGAGAAAGAAAAGAAGCUAUGAAAAACUGGAAGGGUUUAGGGAGCUGAACCAAGAAAGGGACUACCAGAAUAUACUUUAAGAACUCUUCUACUCUACAAUUUCUAACAGCCUGCAUUUCUACCAAUUAGAAACAAAUUUGGAUUUACAAAUUCCUCUUUUAAAAAUGCUGGGAGGUAAAGGACAAAUGCACCAAUCACAUAUUACUGUGAACGGUGUAUUCAAUCAGAUUGCUUUCAUCCUAAUACCUAACUAAAAAUAACUGCAGUGAGAAAAGGAGGUGGGUCAUGGUGCAAGAGAGGUCAGCAUAAGGAAUUAAAUUGGAAUUUUUGGAGAGUUUUGAGGAAGCCAUAGACAACAUGUGAAGGUCAGCUGACGACACAGAAACUCAGAAGUGCAUAAAAUACAUUGUCCUAGAGACCUUCAUACUCAUCCCACCCCAUGCUUUGGACUCCACUCAGAAGGGAACUGAUCUUGGAGUUGCUCAUAGAGAAAUACCUCAAGAUUCCACUGAAUCUCCCUUUGCACUAUCUGAAUAACAGCAACAGCAAAACUAAGCCAAGGUUUUUUCUCCUCUAUGCUAAUGAGGUCUUGGGCAGGGCAGGCAUGGGGCCCAUCGUCUCAGAUUUGCUGUUCAGAGAAUUCCCUUAGCUAAAAGGCUAGAUCUCAAGACUGAACUGCCUAGGAAUACCCUUUCUCAGGCUAGAAGGCUGGACCCCUAAAGACUCAGGUUAGGCAACUGCUAAAGAUAGCACUGUCCAAGAAAUCACACCUCCUCUAACUAGGAGUCAGGGAUUCAGGAAUGGCAUUGUCUAUAAAUGUCCUUCCCAGGCUACAUGGGCAAUGUAGGUAGCUCCUAUGUGAUUCUCCAGGAUAAUCCACCACUGCCAAAUCCACUCUCAGGUCUCUGACGUUUGUUUACAGAAAAGAAGGAACGCAAAAGGCAGUUCCUUCUCAGGCUGCUUGACCAAGCAUAUGUAGUGCCUAUGUGAUUCUGUUAGAAGGCAAUCACUGGACUCUUGGGAUGGUGUGUGUGAAAAUCCUCUCCAACCCUGUACUCUAAGGAACCCUGCAAAAGAAAGGUAGAUGAUAAAAGUGAAAGGACAGCAAAGAAGUUCCAUUAGUUCCUUUUUACAGGCCAUCACAAAAGAGGUUGCUACUCCAAAGUCUGUCCUCCCAGGAGUCCAAGCCAACAAAUUCACUGUGGGGGCAGUCCCAGUCAUUGAAACCUAUUACUGAGGAGGCAUCAAGGAAUAGCUCAACCAACUAAUUCAUCUUGGGGCACUCAUGAGACUUGAUGAGAUUUUCCCCUCUCUUUGCCUUUCCAAGAGGCCAAUGGUAUGUCCAAGGUCAAUAGGAAAAAAGAAAUAACCUCUCUGUAGGCUUAUCAAAUUGACUGGGGAAGUUCCCUAAGCAAAUCCUUACACAUAUUUUAAACACAUUCAAGGCCAAUCUUUGCAUUCGAAACAAAUAAAACAAUGGUUAACCUAGAAUUGUAACCUAGGAAAAAUAAAAAAAGUAAUAACAGCACCUAACUACCAUCACUGAAUUGCCACCAGUCAAUGGACUACAAUCCAGAGCAGAGAAAGACCUAGCUAAUAUGAUUGGUAGGCAAUCUUUGGAAAAUUGUUGAGAAUUGAAAAGAUACAAUAGUACAGAAGAUGGCCAAAUGCUAUCCAAAUACGGAAAGAGAGCAGAUCCUUCAACUGCAAACUGUUCAACUUGACCUUGGAUGAGUCACUUUCGCCCCCUUUAGGGUUCAGAUUUCUCAUCUAUAAAAUAAGAUUGGAGGAAUUCUCUGUGCUUGUUUCCUCAUCUGUAAAAUGAAUAGGGUGGACUCCAGGGCCUCUAACAUUACUUCGAGCUCUCAAUUAAGGAUCCAACGAUUCUUGAUUACCUCUAAAGUCCAUUUCAGCUCAAAAGCCAUGAUUCUAUGAUUCAAGGAAAAAUUUUAAAAUUUAUUAUGGAGUUUGUGAAUGUUUAUUAGUCAACAAAUAUAUGUGUUAAGACACUGGAGAUACAAAUAUAAAAUUGAGAGACCCUGCUCUCAAGGAGCUUACAUUCUAAUAGGGGGAUGAAACACAUAAAGAAGGAUAAACCAGGAAAGGGAAAUUUGUAGAGGCACUCACAAGGAUUGUGAAUUAAGUCACAGGGCAACAUGAGUUUUCCAGUAACAAUGCUAUUAUUGGUUCAGUUAUUGCUCCCAAAACAAAGGCAAGAAAUGAAAGGAGGGAGGGAGGAGGGGGCAAAUAGCAAGAGGCCUACAUUCCACACACCCAGGAAUUCUGUUGGAUGACUAGAAUGGGAUAUAAAGCUGGCUAAACAUACUGUUUCAUCAAGAACAUUAUACCGCAUGACCCUUAUUUUUUUUUGUUGUUGUUGACAGGAUUAGAUCACGAGGAAUUACUUUUGAUUUAGUAAAUCAGUUUUAGCAAAAUACUUGGAUUCUUUUGAACAAGAAAAAAAGAUUUAGUCUAAAUCAGUAGUAUUGAACUCAAACAGAAAUGGAUCCCCUCAGGCCACAUACUGACUUAAAAAAUAGCAAGUUAACAUUAACUGUGUUGUAUUGCAUUUCUAUUUGUUAGACAUUUCCAAAUUACAUUUUAAUGUGGUUUCCUGGGAAUUUUGUGGGCUGUUUGCUUGGGAAUUUGACAUCUCUGGACUUUAGAUAAUGGAGAUACACUUCUGAACUUGUUGAAUUAACAGAUCCAAAGAGUAGUCAUUAACAAAUGGGCAUCAACCUGGAGAAAAUUCUCUAAUGGAAUGCCCCAAGGAUCUGUCCUUGCUGUUCAACCUAUUUUUUUUUUUGGUCAAUGACUUCAACACAGGACCGAAUGGCAUAUUUUUUAAAUGUAUGCAGAUGACAUAAAACUGGAGGGAUUACUAACAUUCUAACUUCAGAAUCCAAAAAUUUCUCAGUAAGUUAGAACAAUGUGGCAAAUUUAUUAAGUGGAAUUAAAUACAUAUGUAAAGAUAUCUAUUGUGAAUACUACCAUUUCUGAAAGUUUAAAGAGCACAGAAAACAUUUUUUAGCUAAUUAAAUAUAUGGUCUCCUAAACAAAAUGACAUGAUAGCAAAUUUUUUUUUAGGCAGUUGGGGUUAAGUGACUUACCCAGGUUCUCACAGCUAAUGUGUCUG